UCACUGGGAAUCUUCCCAACAUAUUCGAUAAGAGUAGUUAUCUGAUAACACUUGACGUUAGCCACAAUCAAAUAACUGGGAAGCUUCCAAGGUCUCUUACAAAUUGCACAAACCUAGAGUUUGUAAAUGUGGGGAGCAAUAGAAUCGCUGACAGCUUUCCGUUUUGGCUGAAGGAUCUACCGAACCUACAAGUCAUUGUCUUACAAUCAAAUAUGUUCCAUGGUCCAAUCUAUUCCCCUCAACAUCCUCUAUCAUUUCCACAACUGAGAAUAAUGGACAUAUCAGGUAAUAAAUUCACCGGAAGCCUACCACAUGAUUACUUUAUCAAUUGGAGUAAACUCUUGAUCAGUAUUCCCCAGGAGAAAAGAGAGUACGUGGGAUAUGAUUCUAUGUAUGAUUAUUACCCUUCCAUGUAUUUGAGAAGCAAAGGAAUAAACAUGGAGCUGGAAAAGAUCCUUGUGACCUACACAGCCAUUGAUUUCUCUGAAAACAAACUUGUAGGACAGAUUCCAGAAUCUUUAGGCCUUUUGAAAUCUCUUAUUGUGCUCAACCUAUCCAACAAUCAUUUUACAGGUCACGUUCCAUCCUCUUGGGCUAAACUCACGAGGCUCGAGUCACUAGACCUAUCUCGGAACCAACUUUCUGGAAAAAUACCGCAGGAGCUAGCAACCCUCUCGUUUUUGGAGUACAUUGAUGUUUCACAUAACAAACUCACGGGACAGAUACCACAGUCUACACAGAUUGGAGGACAGCCUAAAUCAUCUUUUGAAGGGAAUAUCAAUCUUUGUGGUCUUCCUCUUGAGCAGAGUUGCUUCAGUGACAAGGUACCAUCAACACCAGAGGCACAAGGGCCAUGGCCUCAAAAGCAAGAACAAGUGUUAAAUGGACAGCCACAGACGUCCUGUGUGUGCUGAAGGACACACACGUACACACAUUCAAAUUGCACAAACCUAGAGUUUGUAAAUGUGGGGAGCAAUAGAAUCGCUGACAGCUUUCCGUUUUGGCUGAAGGAUCUACCGAACCUACAAGUCAUUGUCUUACAAUCAAAUAUGUUCCAUGGUCCAAUCUAUUCCCCUCAACAUCCUCUAUCAUUUCCACAACUGAGAAUAAUGGACAUAUCAGGUAAUAAAUUCACCGGAAGCCUACCACAUGAUUACUUUAUCAAUUGGAGUAAACUCUUGAUCAGUAUUCCCCAGG
RNAcentral lists this long non-coding RNA (1197 nucleotides) under Brassica napus (rape). RNAcentral describes it as "long non-coding RNA (BNAP_LNC024661)". The record is from RNAcentral. Lineage: Eukaryota; Viridiplantae; Streptophyta; Magnoliopsida; Brassicales; Brassicaceae.